Pararge aegeria (speckled wood butterfly) is the source of this 1514-nucleotide RNA transcript. It is a transcript of the gene named 26S proteasome non-ATPase regulatory subunit 13, with no coding region annotated. The transcript has 10 exons. The record is from RefSeq and is a predicted model, not a curated record. NCBI's taxonomy places the organism in Eukaryota, Metazoa, Arthropoda, Insecta, Lepidoptera, Nymphalidae.
ACAGUACAUAUUAAUUGAUAUUUGCGCUAACUUCACACAAUUACGGAUACUAAUUUUAAAACAUGGCUUCUGUAAAGUUUGCUGUUGUUGAUGUAAACGAAUUUCUAGCUAAAAAACAGACCUCUGAGCCGGAGUUAUCGGAGGAUUGGGCUAAAUUAGAGGAGCUUUACAACAAAAAGCUAUGGCACCAACUUACAUUAAAAGUACAAGAACUCGUGAAGCAUCCGUCUCUACAAACCGGCGACAAUCUUAUACAGCUAUACAGCAACUUCCUAACCACCUUCGAGAACAAAAUCAACCCACUGUCUCUUGUAGAGAUCAUAGCUGUGGUGGUGGCGCAGUACACAGACAAGAAAGAUGCCAUUGCCUUCCUGGAGAAGGUGGAGGCUAAGGUCAAGAUGAAUGAUGAGGCCCUGGCCCUCUGUAAGGUCCUACAAGGUCAGAUAUACCUUGAGCAUCUUAAUGACUUGGAUGCCACAGAGAAGAUUAUAGAACAGCUGGAGAAUACUCUAGAAGAUGCAGAUGGUGUCACCCCAGUGCACGGCAGAUUCUACAAGCUUGCCUCUGAGUACUACAGGGUGCGCGGGCCCAUGGCGCGCUACUACCGCGCGGCGCUGCGCUACGUGGGCUGCCUGGGCGGCGGCGCGGCGCUGCGGCCCGACGAGCGCCGCGAGUGCGCGCUGCGCCUGGCGCUGGCCGCCGUGCUGGCGCCCACCGUGUACGACCUGGGCGAGCUGCUGGCGCACCCCAUCCUGGAGUCGCUGCAGGGCUCGCCGGACGCGUGGGCGUGCGAGCUGCUGCGCGCCGUGGCGGCGGGCGACGUGCUCGCCUUCGAGCGCAUUCGAGCGCAGGCGCCGCACCAGGAGCUGCACCGCGCGGACCGCCAGCUGCGCCAGAAGAUCGCCAUCCUGUGCCUCAUGGAGAUGGCGUUCAACCGCACGUCGGCGCAGCGCCGCCUGUCGUUCGGCGAGAUCGCGCGGGAGGCGCGCGUGCCGCCCGCAGACGUGGAGCUGCUGGUCAUGAAGGCGCUCGCCGACAAGCUCAUCCGCGGGCACAUCGACCAGGUCAGCGAGACGGUGACGGUGACGUGGGUGCGCGCGCGCGCGCUGGGCCGCGCGGGCGCGGGCGCGCUGGCGCGGCGCCUGGACGCGUGGUGCGCCGCCGCCGACGGCGCCGCCGCCCUGCUGCACAGCACGGCGCCCGACCUGCUCACGCUGUAGCCGCGACUCCGCGCGGGCUCCUAAUCACGACGUAAACAUCUGCACCAACUACGGUCGUGUCUUUUGGCAUGCCCCUACACUGAACGGGACCCCACUUUAGGAGAACGUCGAUUAUGAUAUGAGAAAACAUGCAGGAUCAAGAACUUAGAAAUGAAGUGUUAAUAUCAAGAGGCAGACACAAGCCAAGGUUACUUACUGAAUAUGGACAUUGAACAAUAAGUGACUUUGACUCAUUUGUUAUAGCUGUAUCAUUUAUGAUGUAUGUCUGAAAUUAAUAAACAAAUUACAAUUUUA